GGGUUGUUAGCUCAGUGGUAGAGCAGCUGGCUUUUAACCAGUUAGCCACAGGUUCGAAUCCUGUACAACCCACCA
Molecule: transfer RNA, 75 nt
Filed under: Francisella endosymbiont of Ornithodoros moubata
Lineage: Bacteria; Pseudomonadati; Pseudomonadota; Gammaproteobacteria; Thiotrichales; Francisellaceae
Description: tRNA-Lys
Rfam family: tRNA
About the family: Transfer RNA (tRNA) molecules are approximately 80 nucleotides in length.
Source: RNAcentral